UGUGCAAAGGGUAGCAUAAUCAUUAGUCUUUUAAUUGAGGACUGGAAUGAAGGGGUAAACCGGAAUAGACUUUUUUGAGAUAAAAAGUGAAGUUGACUUUUUAGUAAGAAGGCUAAAAUAACUCUUAAAGACAAGAAGACCCUAUAAAACUUUAUAUUUACUACUUUCAGAGAAGGAAAUAAAUAUUUUGCUGGGGCGGUAGGAGAAAAUAACUUUUCUUGAAUUCAAAAGACUUAAUAAGUUUUAAUAUCUAAAAUUUUUAAAGGAAGAAUAAGUUACUUUAGGGAUAACAGCUUAAUUCACUUUUAAAGACCUAAUUGACAAGUGAGUUUAUGACCUCGAUGUUGAAUUAAAAGUCCUCUUUGGCGCAAAAGCCUAAAAAGGAGGUCUGUUCGACCUUUAAACUUUUCCAUGAUCUGAGUCAAAACCCGGUGA
RNAcentral lists this ribosomal RNA (435 nucleotides) under Mesobuthus elenae. RNAcentral's name for it is "partial 16S ribosomal RNA". It matches the Rfam family "Archaeal large subunit ribosomal RNA", at positions 2024 to 2693 of the family's 2987-position model. Lineage: Eukaryota; Metazoa; Arthropoda; Arachnida; Scorpiones; Buthidae. The record is from RNAcentral.